GCGGGCAUCGCCAAGCGGUAAGGCAUCAGCUUCCCAAGCUGACACUCGCGGGUUCGAGUCCCGUUGCCCGCUCCA
This 75-nucleotide transfer RNA is filed under the name Collinsella sp. OF02-10. Its description in RNAcentral is "tRNA-Gly". It matches the Rfam family "tRNA". Rfam says of the family: Transfer RNA (tRNA) molecules are approximately 80 nucleotides in length. Their secondary structure includes four short double-helical elements and three loops (D, anti-codon, and T loops). Further hydrogen bonds mediate the characteristic L-shaped molecular structure. tRNAs have two regions of fundamental functional importance: the anti-codon, which is responsible for specific mRNA codon recognition, and the 3' end, to which the tRNAs corresponding amino acid is attached (by aminoacyl-tRNA synthetases). tRNAs cope with the degeneracy of the genetic code in two manners: having more than one tRNA (with a specific anti-codon) for a particular amino acid; and 'wobble' base-pairing, i.e. permitting non-standard base-pairing at the 3rd anti-codon position. The record is from RNAcentral. Lineage: Bacteria; Bacillati; Actinomycetota; Coriobacteriia; Coriobacteriales; Coriobacteriaceae.